RNAcentral lists this ribosomal RNA (500 nucleotides) under uncultured bacterium. RNAcentral's name for it is "bacterial SSU rRNA". It matches the Rfam family "Bacterial small subunit ribosomal RNA", at positions 8 to 518 of the family's 1533-position model. The record is from RNAcentral.
AGAGUUUGAUUAUGGCUCAGGAUGAACGCUGGCGGCGUGCUUAACACAUGCAAGUCGAACGGAAACGUAUUGAAACCUAGUGAUAUACGUUCUAGUGGCGGACGGGUGAGUAACGCGUGGGUAACCUGCCGUAUUCUGGGGGACAACAGUUGGAAACGACUGCUAAUACCGCAUAAGACCACAGAGUCGCAUGACUCAGGGGUAAAAACUCCGGUGGAAUACGAUGGACCCGCGUCUGAUUAGCUAGUUGGUGAGGUAACGGCCCACCAAGGCGACGAUCAGUAGCCGGCCUGAGAGGGUGAACGGCCACAUUGGGACUGAGACACGGCCCAAACUCCUACGGGAGGCAGCAGUGGGGAAUAUUGCACAAUGGGCGAAAGCCUGAUGCCAGCGACGCCGCGUGAGUGAAGAAGUAUUUCGGUAUGUAAAGCUCUAUCAGCAGGGGAGAAAAUGACGGUACCUGACUAAGAAGCCCCGGCUAACUACGUGCCAGCAGCGGC